Dermochelys coriacea (leatherback sea turtle) is the source of this 1437-nucleotide long non-coding RNA. RefSeq lists it as uncharacterized. The record is from RefSeq and is a predicted model, not a curated record. The transcript is spliced from 4 exons. Lineage: Eukaryota; Metazoa; Chordata; Testudines; Dermochelyidae.
UACAAGGGACAUGUGGGAUUCAGGACCGAGAGCUUGAAGUUUGCUAUCAGCUACACACUGUGGAAACACAGAUGGUGUUGCCAACUCGCACAAUAUUUGGAGUCUUUUCUGAAGCCCCGGAUGCUGUGGAUACGUGCAUGGCCAGGCACACCAACUCCAUCUGGAUCUAACAAUUCUGUGACUGGGGGAUGCGGACCAUUUCCUACUGAGCGUUUCCAUCAGAGACCCCCUGUCAGAGGGGAGAGCCUAGUCCACUGGAGCUUAGGGCUUUUCUGGAGAAGAGUGCCCUCCCUGUUUGCUCUUCACUUUGCCUGUUCUAAACCCUGACAGCUGAUCUUCAUCUGUAGGUGGGCUGUGAGCCACUAGCAGAUGGCAGCGCCGGUUAUGCAGGAUUCAAAGCACAUGCAAAAUCACUCAGCUGCUGGGGAGGAACCUGGAGCUGUGGCUACAGCAGCUUGUUGGCUGCAAAUCAGAUCGGAAGGAAACAGGUUAUUUGCUAUAGCUUGUCUGGAACAGAAACUAAAUUAGCAGGGCUGCCGCUGCUGUGAGAUGACCAGAGUAUGGCCAGAAGCAGGCAGCAUGCCCGGCCCAAACCUCUCCCUCCAGGUUAAGACCAAGGAACCCAAGGGUCCUAUCCAAAAGAGACGGAGUCCUCAUGCCCCCUUCCCUGCCUUGCAUCCUUCAGACGUUCAAGGCUGAGAAGUACAGUAAGAACAAGAGGCACUGCCAUCUGUGGCUUCUUGCAGAGAAGAGUCAAGACUGGCAAUGCCUGGAGCAGCAUGGAGAUUAAAGCUACGUUAAAUGCAAAUAUUCCUUUGAGUUAUUCCUGGGAGCUGCCUAAUGAUCUGUGGGGAAAUUGUUUAAUCAAGGCCUUUAUGAUAAAUGGUGCAGAAAAGCUUCUACUAUUGCCAAUACAGGGCUUGAGAAGAGAUGGGGGGGCAUAACCUGCCUGGGGUAUAAGUCUCUGGGGGCUUAGCUCAAGCUGUGGUUGGGAUACAAAUGGAACAAGUUUGCCGGGUCUCAGCCUAGUCUCUAAUGUACAUUUGUCCACACUCCAAAUCCACUAUGAAAUUUAAUGUAACUGGCAUUUAUCCAGAAGAAGCCCAUGACUGGUAUAGCAGAAGGUGUUGCAGGACAGGAUUGAGGUGCCUCAGAAAAGCUUCACAUGGUGACCCAGAACUGGAGCAGCAGGGUGUACAAUGGAUCAGGGUUGAGGGCUAUGUAGGAAGGGCCCAGCUGGAACAGCAAGCAGGUGUUUGAGUAGAGCUGAGUGUGGGAAGCCUAGGGCUGGAAUGGUUGAGCCCCAGGUGCAGGUCAGGAUUGAGGUGAAUUGGCAGAGCUGUUCAUGGAAAGCUUAUGCUGAGCCUGUCUGCAUUGUACCUGGCUCCUGCUCCCCCAUUAGUGUCUCACUCUCACAAAAUUAAAUUUAAAAGAAUG